RNAcentral lists this ribosomal RNA (494 nucleotides) under uncultured bacterium. RNAcentral's name for it is "partial 16S ribosomal RNA". It matches the Rfam family "Bacterial small subunit ribosomal RNA", at positions 28 to 507 of the family's 1533-position model. The record is from RNAcentral.
GACGAACGCUGGCGGCGUGCUUAACACAUGCAAGUCGAACGGUUAAGCGCCUUCCUUUUUGGUGGGUGUGGAUGAGUGGCGAACGGGUGAGUAACACGUGAGUAACCUGCCCCCUUCUUCUGGAUAACCGCAUGAAAGUGUGGCUAAUACGGGAUAUUCUGGGUCUGUCGCAUGAUGGGUCUGGGAAAGAUAUUGUUUCGGUGGGGGAUGGGCUCGCGGCCUAUCAGCUUGUUGGUGGGGUGAUGGCCUACCAAGGCGGUGACGGGUAGCCGGCCUGAGAGGGUGGACGGUAACGAUGCGAUGAAGACCCGGCGCGGAGUCCGAGGGGAAGCAGCAGUGUGUAAUAUGGAACAAUGGGAGGAAGCCUGAUGCAGCGACGCCGCGGGAGGGAUGGGGGCGUGCGGGUUGUGAACCUCUUUCGAAAGUGAAGCAGGCCUGACUUGUGUGUGGGGGGGUUGACGGUAGCUGGAUAAGAAGCGCCGGCUAACUACGUG